RNAcentral lists this unclassified non-coding RNA (1012 nucleotides) under Hevea brasiliensis (rubber tree). Lineage: Eukaryota; Viridiplantae; Streptophyta; Magnoliopsida; Malpighiales; Euphorbiaceae. The record is from RNAcentral.
GGGAUUGAGUGCUCUUCGUUUUCAUUCUGGAAAAAUCCUCUUCUCGAAAAAAAUCAGAUACAAGAGUUGUCGCCUGAGAUUCGCCGGAACUAAAUGGAAGUGACAUCGGAGAAGAAAGAAUUGGAUAACAAGAACACGAACAGCACUCAAUCCCUAAUUAUCGAUCCCUCAAUAGCCGCCGAGGAUCGUGAACGCAUCGCUGUUGACCUAAAAGCCGGCUUGCAUCCUCUCAAGAACAAGUUUGUUUUCUGGUACACUCGCCGGACACCUGGGGUUCGAACACAAACAUCAUACGAGGACAAUAUAAAGAAAAUUGUUGAUUUUAGUACUGUUGAAGGGUUUUGGGUUUGCUACUGCCACUUGGCUCGCCCAUCAGCAUUGCCCAGCCCAACUGAUUUGCAUCUUUUCAGAGAGGGUAUUCGUCCUUUAUGGGAGGAUGCUGCUAAUUGCCAUGGUGGGAAGUGGAUAAUUCGUUUUAAAAAGGCUGUCUCAGGACGUUUUUGGGAGGACCUGGUUCUUGCUUUGGUAGGUGACCAACUCGAUUAUGGUGACAACAUAUGUGGUGCUGUUCUAAGCAUUCGUUUCAAUGAAGACAUCUUGAGUGUAUGGAAUCGUAAUGCGUCAGAUCAGCAGGCUGUGAUGGCAUUGAGAGACUCAAUCAAGCGACACUUGAAGCUUCCUGGUGGCUAUAUCAUGGAAUACAAAGCCCAUGAUGCUUCCUUGCGUGACAACUCAUCUUACCGCAAUACUUGGAUAAGAUCAUAAACUCUUAUUUCGCUGUCAUACUUUGAGAAAAGAGAUUUGCAUAGUUCGGUCGGUAUUUGGUCAAAGAGAUUUUCAUGGCAAAAAUGGUUGAUGUUGAUCAUGUAAUAUGAGCUAACAAUUAGAUUUUACCGGCACUCGAAAUCUCUUGAUUGCCUGUAGUUCUUCUGAUGUGUAUGCAUAACUCUAUUGUCAAGUGGAUUAUCCCCAGUACUGGCUCAAGUAUAAUUGACAAUUGAGUCAUUCCCAG